GCCUAGGAGGGAGGCAGGAAGCGCUCGAGGACUCACAAUCGAGGCUGCUGCUGGCCCCAGAGAAUUGGGAGGCCAGAGCGCCUCCGCCGCUGAAGGCCUGAGGGACGCUGAGGGAGAGGGUCCCUGCAGGUGGCCAGGCUGGGGACUCCACGGUGUGUCCUGGACUGUGAAUUGGGGUCUGGUCCUGGAGGCCACGCGGGGCGCCCCACGUGCCAAGAGACCUGCAGGGAGCGUCUCCUGGGCUGCCAGGUCCGGGGUUCUGAGGACGCUGGCCCCUCUGAUAGGCAGACUGAUGCCCUCCCAACGACGUCCAGCAAUCUGUAAAUGUCACCUUCCUGGGCCAGGGGCUUUGCAGACGUGAUUUAUUUAAGGAUCUUAAAAUCGGGAGACAAUCCUGGAUUAUCCAGUGGCUCAGUGUGAUCACAGAAGUCCUUACAGGGGAAAGGGGGGAG
This 452-nucleotide long non-coding RNA is filed under the name Marmota monax (woodchuck). Lineage: Eukaryota; Metazoa; Chordata; Mammalia; Rodentia; Sciuridae. The record is from RNAcentral.